GGUUCUUUAAAUAUGGCAGAGCCAAACCGCUGCACCCCUGAGGUGGCCAUUUUGUAGCUGCACCUCCCUUCCCUUCCAGCCGAACACUGUUCUUGCCUCGUGUAACCGGAUCCACACACUGGAGCAUGGAGGCAGCCGAAAGAUAAAGUGUCAGGAGCCAGCUGUUUUGAACGAGAAGAACCACCAGACAGGUGGUCCCCAUAUGAGAUGGCUGUUGUCCAGGAAAGCAGCACUGACCACAAUGCUGUUAACACAAAUCUCAAGUCAGCAAAGCCCCCCCAGCAUUUAACCUCCUCUUUAGAUCCUUCUGCACUGAAGUGGCUGCUUGACAGCUCCCAGGACAAGUGUCCCGCCACUAGCUAUCCCAGAAGACAGAAGCCCUAACCGAGGAUUUGGAGCCAAGGUGGAAAGGAAAUGAAUUAACAAGGGACAGAGAGAGGCCUCCAACCAUGGUACACAGCCGAUUUCCCAGCUCCCCAGGCGCAGCGAGAACGUUUAGGCACUAAUCUUUUUACAGAUACUCUUGAGCAGUGGAAUUUCCAGGUGCGUGUGUUUUCAGGGCAAAAGCAGCCCCGGUAAA
Mauremys mutica (yellowpond turtle) is the source of this 580-nucleotide long non-coding RNA. RefSeq lists it as uncharacterized. The transcript is spliced from 5 exons. The record is from RefSeq and is a predicted model, not a curated record. NCBI's taxonomy places the organism in Eukaryota, Metazoa, Chordata, Testudines, Geoemydidae.